This 437-nucleotide ribosomal RNA is filed under the name uncultured bacterium. RNAcentral describes it as "partial 16S ribosomal RNA". It matches the Rfam family "Bacterial small subunit ribosomal RNA", at positions 339 to 795 of the family's 1533-position model. The record is from RNAcentral.
CUACGGGCCGCUGCAGUGAGGAAUAUUGCACAAUGGGGGGAACCCUGAUGCAGCAACGCCGCGUGGAGGAUGACGCAUUUCGGUGUGUAAACUCCUUUUAUAUGUCAAGAAAAUGACGGUAGCAUAUGAAUAAGCACCGGCUAACUCCGUGCCAGCAGCCGCGGUAAUACGGAGGGUGCAAGCGUUACUCGGAAUCACUGGGCGUAAAGGACGCGUAGGCGGGGUGGAAAGUCAGGUGUGAAAUCCUACAGCUUAACUGUAGAACUGCACUUGAAACUUCUAAUCUAGAGUAUGGGAGGGGGAGAUGGAAUUAGUGGUGUAGGGGUAAAAUCCGUAGAUACCACUAGGAAUACCUAAAGCGAAGGCGAUCUCCUGGAACAUUACUGACGCUAAAGCGUGAAAGCGUGGGGAGCAAACAGGAUUAGAUACUCGUAGUC